AGGAGGAGGAUGUGAUUAGUGUUUGCUGCCGUGGGAUGUCAGCUGGAGGAUGAGAGCUGUGUGCCAAGAGGAGGAAAGAGCUGCCAUGGGUGGAUGCCACAGACUCCAAACUGUGAAUCCCUGCUCCCGGACUCUGAGCUCCCAAGGUUGAUUUUACCACUUCAAUAAUAAGGGUGAGUGGAGAGGAAUCCAUCUCCAGAGCCACGUUACUGCUUCACACACGGCUGCAGCAGGCAACGGCGCCCGGCUCUCCCAGCACAGACAGCUACAAUGAAUGACCCAGGAGGCCCUGAAAGAACAUUUUGGAUUACAUUGCUGCAAAUGAGAGGUUUCAGUCAUGGUAUGGGAUGAGCUGCAGGUAAGCAGUGGGUUUAAUGUCAGCUUUUUUGGCAGCUUCUUUAUUCUCUCUCCACUUUGCACAAACAAACCAUCUCUGCAAGGAAGUUAAUUUUCCUUUUCAGCC
This is a long non-coding RNA of Serinus canaria (Common canary), 463 nucleotides long. RefSeq lists it as uncharacterized. NCBI's taxonomy places the organism in Eukaryota, Metazoa, Chordata, Aves, Passeriformes, Fringillidae. The transcript is spliced from 3 exons. The record is from RefSeq and is a predicted model, not a curated record.